RNAcentral lists this ribosomal RNA (711 nucleotides) under Phytophthora citrophthora. RNAcentral describes it as "eukaryotic LSU rRNA". It matches the Rfam family "Eukaryotic large subunit ribosomal RNA", at positions 81 to 618 of the family's 3401-position model. Lineage: Eukaryota; Oomycota; Peronosporomycetes; Peronosporales; Peronosporaceae. The record is from RNAcentral.
UAGUAACGGCGAGUGAAGCGGGAAGAGCUCAAGCUUAAAAUCUCCGUGCAAGUUUUGCGCGGCGAAUUGUAGUCUAUAGAGGCGUGGUCAGCGUGGGCGCUUGGGGCAAGUUCCUUGGAAGAGGACAGCAUGGAGGGUGAUACUCCCGUUCAUCCCUGAGUGGCUCGUGCGUACGACCCGUUUUCUUUGAGUCGCGUUGUUUGGGAAUGCAGCGCAAAGUAGGUGGUAAAUUCCAUCUAAAGCUAAAUAUUGGUGCGAGACCGAUAGCGAACAAGUACCGUGAGGGAAAGAUGAAAAGAACUUUGAAAAGAGAGUUAAAGAGUACCUGAAACUGCUGAAAGGGAACCGAAUCGUUUCCAGUGUCUAUAAUCUGUGGCAUAUUUCAUUGGCGAGCGUUUGCGUGCGUGUGCUGUGGCAGUGGCUUUUUUGGCUGCGCCUGGUGUGUGUGGUGUGAGUGUUUGCUGGUGCCCUGUGCUGCGGUGGGACGUCAAGGUCAGUUCGUAUGCUGCGGGAAAUGGCUGCCGAGGAGGUAGGGCUUACGCUCCGCGUUUGUCUGUUAUAUCUUGGUGGACGAGUCGUCGCGGUUGGGACUGAGGUGCCUACAACGUGCUUUUGAGUGGGUUUGUGUCUCCGUGUGCGCCGUGUGCGGAUAGCUUGCUAUGCGUGUGUGGUUGUGUGUGGAUGGAUGCGGGCCUUAACUUGUCGCCGUUC